AGUGACACAUGUUCAACGGCCGCGGUACCCUGACCGUGCAAAGGUAGCAUAAUCACUUGUUCUCUAAAUAAGGACUUGUAUGAACGGCCACACGAGGGUUUAACUGUCUCUUACUUUUAAUCAGUGAAAUUGACCUAUCCGUGAAGAGGCGGAUAUACCUAAAUAAGACGAGAAGACCCUAUGGAGCUUCAAUUUAAUGGUACAAACCACAACCUUUCAAACCAACAGGCAAUAACCUAUCAUAAAUGUACCAUAAAUUUCGGUUGGGGUGACCUCGGAGUACAAUAUAACCCCCGAAAAACAUAUACUAAGACCUCACUAGUCUAAGUAAAAACAAACCUAUUGACCCAAUAACUUGAUCAACGGACUAAGUUACCCUAGGGAUAACAGCGCAAUCCUAUUCUAGAGUCCAUAUCGACAAUCGGGUUUACGACCUCGAUGUUGGAUCAAGACAUCCUAAUGGUGCAGACGCUAUUAAGGGUUCGUUUG
Molecule: ribosomal RNA, 489 nt
Filed under: Mico mauesi
Lineage: Eukaryota; Metazoa; Chordata; Mammalia; Primates; Cebidae
Description: Callithrix mauesi partial 16S ribosomal RNA
Rfam family: Bacterial large subunit ribosomal RNA
Source: RNAcentral